UCCGAGUUGACCCCGGCAGUCUCCUUUGAGUUCCCACCAUUACGUGCUGGCAACAAAGAACGAGGGUUGCGCUCGUUGCGGGACUUAACCCAACAUCUCACGACACGAGCUGACGACAGCCAUGCAGCACCUCGACUCUAGUCCCUUGCGGGAAAACCAUGUUUCCACGGUCGUUCACGAGCCGUUCGAGCCCAGGUAAGGUUCUUCGCGUUGCGUCGAAUUGAACCACAUGCUCCACCGCUUGUGCGGGCCCCCGUCAAUUCCUUUGAGUUUCAAUCUUGCGAUCGUACUUCCCAGGUGGAUUACUUAAUGCUUUCGCUCAGACACCAACAGUGUAUCGCUGAUGUCGAGUAAUCAUCGUUUAGGGCGUGGACUAC
Molecule: unclassified non-coding RNA, 377 nt
Filed under: uncultured bacterium
Lineage: Bacteria
Description: contains 16S-23S intergenic spacer region
Source: RNAcentral